AGUGAACGCUGGCGGUAGGCCUAACACAUGCAAGUCGAACGGCAGCACAGUAAGAGCUUGCUCUUACGGGUGGCGAGUGGCGGACGGGUGAGGAAUACAUCGGAAUCUACUUUUUCGUGGGGGAUAACGUAGGGAAACUUACGCUAAUACCGCAUACGACCUACGGGUGAAAGCAGGGGAUCUUCGGACCUUGCGCGAUUGAAUGAGCCGAUGUCGGAUUAGCUAGUUGGCGGGGUAAAGGCCCACCAAGGCGACGAUCCGUAGCUGGUCUGAGAGGAUGAUCAGCCACACUGGAACUGAGACACUGUCCAGACUCCUACGGGAGGCAGCAGUGGGGAAUAUUGGACAAUGGGCGCAAGCCUGAUCCAGCCAUACCGCGUGGGUGAAGAAGGCCUUCGGGUUGUAAAGCCCUUUUGUUGGGAAAGAAACGCAGCAGGUUAAUACCCCGCUGUUCUGACGGUACCCAAAGAAUAAGCACCGGCUAACUUCGUG
This 492-nucleotide ribosomal RNA is filed under the name uncultured bacterium. Its description in RNAcentral is "partial 16S ribosomal RNA". It matches the Rfam family "Bacterial small subunit ribosomal RNA", at positions 29 to 507 of the family's 1533-position model. The record is from RNAcentral.